CAGCCGCCGCGGGAAUACAGAGGGUGCGAGCGUUAAUCGGAUUUACUGGGCGUAAAGCGUGCGUAGGCGGCUAAUUGAGUCGGAUGUGAAAUCCCCGAGCUUAACUUGGGAAUUGCAUUCGAUACUGGUUAGCUAGAGUGUGGGAGAGGAUGGUAGAAUUCCAGGUGUAGCGGUGAAAUGCGUAGAGAUCUGGAGGAAUACCGAUGGCGAAGGCAGCCAUCUGGCCUAACACUGACGCUGAGGUACGAAAGCAUGGGGAGCAAACAGGAUUAGAGACCCCAGUAGUCCCUGUCUCUUAUAC
Molecule: ribosomal RNA, 301 nt
Filed under: uncultured bacterium
Lineage: Bacteria
Description: partial 16S ribosomal RNA
Rfam family: Bacterial small subunit ribosomal RNA
Source: RNAcentral